AGAGCGAACGCUGGCGGCAGGCCUAACACAUGCAAGUCGAACGGACCCUUCGGGGUUAGUGGCGGACGGGUGAGUAACACGUGGGAACGUGCCUUUUGGUUCGGAAUAGCUCCUGGAAACGGGUGGUAAUGCCGAAUGUGCCCUUCGGGGGAAAGAUUUAUCGCCAUUAGAACGGCCCGCGUCUGAUUAGCUAGUUGGUGAGGUAAUGGCUCACCAAGGCGACGAUCAGUAGCUGGUCUGAGAGGAUGACCAGCCACAUUGGGACUGAGACACGGCCCAAACUCCUACGGGAGGCAGCAGUGGGGAAUCUUGCGCAAUGGGCGAAAGCCUGACGCAGCCAUGCCGCGUGAAUGAAUGAAAGGUCUUAAGGAUUAGUAAAAAUUCUUUCACCGGGACGAUAAUGACGGUACCCGGAGAAAGAAGCCCCGGCUAACUUCGUGCCAGCAGCCGAC
This 452-nucleotide ribosomal RNA is filed under the name uncultured soil bacterium. RNAcentral describes it as "bacterial SSU rRNA". It matches the Rfam family "Bacterial small subunit ribosomal RNA", at positions 26 to 518 of the family's 1533-position model. The record is from RNAcentral.